Hordeum vulgare subsp. vulgare (domesticated barley) is the source of this 673-nucleotide long non-coding RNA. RefSeq lists it as uncharacterized. The record is from RefSeq and is a predicted model, not a curated record. The transcript has 2 exons. NCBI's taxonomy places the organism in Eukaryota, Viridiplantae, Streptophyta, Magnoliopsida, Poales, Poaceae.
UUUACAGGGAUAUUUGAGACGAAAACGGCAGUCCAAGCAAGGCUUUAGGCUCGCUUCGCUUGGCCGCUCACAUUGCCGCGCGCCGCGCGCGCGAUCAGAAUUCAGAAGGCCUGAAAUUCCAGAUGAGGCGAGCGUGGUGUACCAUCGUCAUCGUCAUCGUCUACGAAAGGUUGGUUGGUCAUGAUCCGCGGCCAUUUGGAGGAUGCAGGGAGCGCGCCCCGCGUACGUGUUGGGGAGACAAGGCAUGGGGAGAUGCAUCCCAAGCGCGGGAGAUGGAUGGCGCGCGUACGUGUUCACGAGACAAAAGCGUACGGGGCUGUAUCCCAGGCGGGCCGCGACGAUCGUCGAUGAUGGAGAGCGACCGAGUGGCGCCGUCCACGCGCGCGACGUCUUCUUAAAAACUUCCAACGAUCGAUGCCGGACCCGCCCGCGGUCGUCGUCGGCGGCCCGGUCGGGAGCGAGACGGCUGAUAACACGUGCCCGUUCCUGGCAUGGAAGUUGCAGUAUACUUUCCUUGGUCUUGGUGACCAUGGGGCUUUGGGUUUCUGUCCUCUCUUGGCUCCCAUUCCCGGCUGGCGUGCCGUGCCGUGCGUGUGCGCUUGUUCGGGAAUUUGUAUACAGUAUACAGGCUUCCUAGUCUGUAGGGAGAUAGUACAAGUAUAGAUAAUGAAUA